AUGGGCUCGGCCUCCUUUCUUCCUCCUCACAGGGAGGCCCGAUCACAGAAGGAGUCCCCUCGGUCUCUGAAGGACCGGCCCUGCGGGAAAAAGCCACUUCCCCCCCGGCCUCGAUCUUCUUCUCCCGCCACGUUGGCCACAGAGGGGGAAUUUCUUUGCACACAAGAAAAGACACCCACGUGCAAAGGAGGGCUUGAGCCUCACCCUUCAACGCCCCCCCCGGUUGUUUCUGCAAUCUCUCCCCCCCCCGUUCGUGCAGGAGGGGGGAAGGGGAGGAACCUAGAGCUACGAAGGCGAAGGAAGAGCCCCUCCCCUGGACGCCCUUUGAACGGGAGCCGGAAGAAGCGGGGAUCCUGCAGCGCCUGCCUCUUCCCCUUCGGCCCAAGAAAGGCGCCUGGAGGAGAGAAGCGGGGCUUUUGGGGCGCCUCCCGGAUCGGGACCUGGACGGAGGAAGGGGUGAGACUGAGCUGAAUUCUCUUUGCUUUUUGGGGGAUCAUUAUGCAUUGUCUGCAUAAAGGAAUAACGGGACAUGAUGCGUCCCUAAUUGUGAUGGAUGACUCUUCACACUGGUUGGAAAGGGGGUUAGGUGAUUCGUAAACAGGUUGAAUAAGGAGGGAACAAGAAUGUAGCCUUGCUUCACUCCCUUGUUGGUUGGAAAUUGAUUAGAUAACUCACCUUACCAAGGGGCACGAACUUGGCAUGUUGUGCCAGAGUAUAAAAUUCUUAUGAGGAAAAGGAGUCUUUUAUCUAUGCGCAUGUUUUCAAGUUUUUCCCAGGGAAACUCUCUGUCUACAGAAUCAAAAGCUGCCUUUAAUUCAAGGAAAGCCACAUACAAUUUAGAAUUUUCAUGCUUAGAUCCCAGUAUAAACUACCGCUCUUUAAAGGGAAGCCUACUAGUUGGGUUCACAUUUGAAUAAGUCCGGUGGGAUAGUAUCGGGGGCCGGCUGCUUUUCCAGCUUUUAAUUGAGUGAUUAGAUCUCUGGUCUCUUCUAUGGUUAGUGGUGGCCAAACAGGAAGAUCAGAGAGAACAAAAGAGCGUAGAGGGUCUAACAGCUCUAUCUUUGUCAAAAAGAAGGUCUGAAAAAUAUUGGACCCUUCUUGGUGGAGAUAUUAUGGCAGGGUCUUGUACUUCCAGCCUGAAGGAGCCUGCCACGAUGGCCCAAAUUGGUUGUUGUGGGUUUUUCAGGCUUCUUGGCCAUGUUCUGAAAGUGGUUCUUCCUAACCUUUCGCCAGUCUCUGUGGCCGGCAUCUUCAGAGGACAGCAAACUGUGCUCUGGGAGGCUGAGAGUGGGUGGAGUAUUUAUGGUUGUGAGAAGGCUAGUUGGUGAGGUAGGCUAUUGUCCUAAUCAGGAGAUGGUUGAUUGUGUUUUGUUAUGGCUGCAUUGUUUUGAUCAAGAGGGGGGAUUAUCUGUCCCUGUGGCUGAUGGGUGUCGUUAGCUGGUUUUUUGUGUGCAGUAAUCCCUUGACCUUAUGGCUGGGUGGAGUUCAUUGACCUUUUGCACUCUGUGUUUUUGAGAGCUGGGAGCCAGGUUUUAUGGAGUUUCAGACAUUCCUCCUUCCGGUUGAAGUUUUGUUGAUGCUUGUGGAUUUCAAUGGCUUCCCUGUGCAGUCUGACGUAAUGAUUGCUGGUGUUGUCCAGUAUUUCAGUAUUUUGAAAUAGAAUUUCAUGUCCAGUUUGUUUUAUGGCAUGUUCAGCUACUGCAGAUUUUUCUGAUUGUUUUAGUCUGCAGUGUUUCUCAUGUUCUUUGACUCUGGUGUGGAUGCUUCAUUUUGUGGUUCCAAUGUAUACCUGGCCACAACUGCAAGGUAUCCGGUAUACUCCUGCAGUGGUGAGGGGGUCCCUUCUGUCCCAGCUCUCAAAAACACAGAGUGCAAAAGGUCAAUGAACUCCACCCAGCCAUAAGGUCAAGGGAUUACUGCACACAAAAAACCAGCUAACGACACCCAUCAGCCACAGGGACAGAUAAUCCCCCCUCUUGAUCAAAACAAUGCAGCCAUAACAAAACACAAUCAACCAUCUCCUGAUUAGGACAAUAGCCUACCUCACCAACUAGCCUUCUCACAACCAUAAAUACUCCACCCACUCUCAGCCUCCCAGAGCACAGUUUGCUGUCCUCUGAAGAUGCCGGCCACAGAGACUGGCGAAACGUUAGGAAGAACCAUUUUCAGAACACGGCCAAGAAGCCCGAAAAACCCACAACAACCGUUAGAUCCUGGCCGUGAAAGUCUUCGCGAUGGCCCAAAUUGUUUAUUGUUUUUUGGGUCACUGCCUGUUAGAGAUUGCUCCAAAAUAAAAUUCUGCCUUUUUUCUUUUACA
RNAcentral lists this long non-coding RNA (2317 nucleotides) under Pogona vitticeps (central bearded dragon). RNAcentral describes it as "lncRNA (ENSPVIG00000007051.1)". Lineage: Eukaryota; Metazoa; Chordata; Lepidosauria; Squamata; Agamidae. The record is from RNAcentral.